ACUGCUCAGUAACACGUGGAUAAUUUGCCCUUAGGUGGAGGAUAACCUCGGGAAACUGAGAAUAAUACUCCAUAGGUCUAGGAUGCUGGAACGCACUUAGAUUGAAAGUUCCGGCGCCUAAGGAUAAGUCUGCGGACUAUCAGGUUGUAGUCAGGGUAAAGUCCUGACUAGCCUACAACGGAUACGGGUUGUGAGAGCAAUAACCCGGAGACGAUAUCUGAGACACGAUAUCGGGCCCUACGGGGCGCAGCAGGCGCGGAACCUUCACAAUGUGCGAAAGCACGAUGAGGGAAUCCCAAGUGCCAGCUCGUAAGAGUUGGCUGUUUUUCUGUUUAAAGUGCAGAGAGAGUAAGAGCUGGGUAAGACGGGUGCCAGCCGCCGCGGUAAUACCUGCAGCUCAAGUGGUGGCCGCUAUUAUUGGGCCUAAAACGUCCGUAGCCGGUUUAGUAGAUGCCUGGGUAAAUCGUGUAGCUUAACUAUACGAAUUCUGGGUAGACUGCUAAACUUGGGUCCGGGAGAGGCUAGAGGUACUCCUGGGGUAGAGGUGAAAUUCUGUAAUCCUAGGGGGACCACCAGUGGCGAAGGCGUCUGGCUAGAACGGGUCUGACGGUGAGGGACGAAGCCCUGGGGCGCAAACCGGAUUAGAUACCCGGGUAGUCCAGGGUGUAAACGCUGCUUGCUUGAUGUUAGUUGGGCUCCGAGCCCAACUAGUGUCGGAGGUCC
RNAcentral lists this ribosomal RNA (723 nucleotides) under uncultured archaeon. RNAcentral's name for it is "bacterial SSU rRNA". It matches the Rfam family "Archaeal small subunit ribosomal RNA", at positions 85 to 813 of the family's 1478-position model. The record is from RNAcentral.